Molecule: ribosomal RNA, 2939 nt
Filed under: groundwater metagenome
Description: bacterial LSU rRNA
Rfam family: Archaeal large subunit ribosomal RNA
Source: RNAcentral
CAUAUCCCGUGAGACGGAUGACAUGGCUCAAGAGUCGACGAAGGGCGUGGCAAGCUACGAUAUGCCUCGGCAAACUGCAUGCAGGUAUUGAACCGAGGAUUCCCGAAUCAGACUUCUGAUCUCGCAAGAGAUGAUCCUAACGGAUCGAGAACCCGGGGAACUGAAGCGUCUUAGUACCCGGAGGAAAAGAAAUCAAUAGAGAUGCUGUAAGUAACAGCGAGUGAAAACAGCACAAGACAAACUGAAUCUUGCUAUGAAAGUGGUAAGAGAUGUGGUGUGAUAAGACUUUCUUUUAUCCGUAACUAUUGGUGUUGAACUGCUUUGGAAAAAGUGACGAUACAGGGUGAUAGUCCCGUAAACAACUGAUGGUCGGAGUGAAAGUAUCUUGAGUAGAACUCAUCGGAAAUUGGGUUCGAAUUUGGGAGGCAUCAACUUCCAAUCUUAAAAACAGCUUGAGUCCGAUAGCGAAUGACGUACCGCGAGGGAACGUUGAAAAGAACCCGUAACAGGGAGUUUAAAGAUCCUGAAGUCUCAUGGGUAUAGAGAGAUACUGCUCGUAAGAGUUGUAUCGUACGUUUUGAAUAACGGGCCAGGGAGUUUGCUUGAGUGGCGAGGGUAAAACAUAUUCAUGUUGCACCCGAAGGGAAACCAAGAAGCUGCACGCAAGGAGAGCUCCGAUAUGAAAAUGUCGAGAGUCACUGAGGCAUGACCCGAAACCAAUCGAUCUAACCAAUGGCAGGAUGAAGCGGCGUUGAUACGCUGUGGAGGUCCGAGGCGGUACUACAUGCAUGUGUUCGUUUGACCAUAGGUUAGGGGUGAAAAGCCAAUCGAGAUUGGUGAUAGCUGGUUCUUACCGAAAUCGGCCGUAGUCGAGUCUGAAUGGAGACAGUACGGGAGGUAGAGCGACGGAUCUAAAAGCCUGGGGGAGAAAUCCCUCACUUUUUUGUCCAACUCCCAAUAUCCGUACGUCGUAGAAGUUCGGAAACAGGCGUGCUGGGGUAAACUUGUACGUCUAUAGGGGAACAACCCCAUCUCGUGUUAAGGUCCCAAAGAAUGCGUUAAGUGUUAUAGGGUGAAAGGUGUGUAUCACCUAAGACAGAGGGGAGGUAUGCUUAGAAGCAGCAAUCCUUUAAAGAAAGCGUAAUAGCUCACCCUUCAAGGUAGAUACGCCCUGAAGAUGGACGGGGCUAAAUGCAUCACCGAUACAUGAGACCUGCUUCCGGGUGGAGGCAGUGUGGUAGGUAAGCGUUCUGUCUGGGUAGAAGCCAAGCUGUGAGGCUAGGUGGACCGGAUAGAAAUGAGAAUCCUGGUGGUAGUAAGAUCGAUAUAGUGUGAGAACCACUAAUACCGAAAGGGCUAGGGUUUCUCAGCAAUGACAAUCAACUGAGAGGUAGUCAGACCUAACUCAUAUCCUAAUGGAGAAUGGGGAGAGGGAAAACGGUUAAUAUUCCGUUACUUGUUCUGUACGUGCGGCGACGCAAGGUGCGUAGCUGACACUUCCGGCUAGAUAGACACGUACUGUCGUGCGUGUGAAUCUGGAUACAUGAGGGGAGUAUCGUAACGAUGAGAUCCUCAUGAAACUAGAGAUCAGGUAUCCUUUGGGUACUUCCAUUGAUGCCAGGAGUCCGUGAAAAGGCAACGCGCAAGGAUCAGAACAAACUGUACCAACAACCAGCACUGGUGUCCCUAGGUGAGAAGCCUCAGGUAUACAGGAAUAAACUUUGUUAGGGAAAUCGGCAAAUUAGCUCCGUGCCUUCGGCAUAAGGAGUCCCUGAGCUUGUAUUCGUAUGAGUGCAAGUGCAGGGUUGUAUAACAAGAUGGGCCCGACUGUUUAACAAAAACGUAACGUCUCGCAAGUCCGAAAGGAUGUGAAUGGGACGUGACGUCUGCCCAAUGCUAGUAUCUCAAACCUCUGUUCAAGGAGGCUAAGGACUAGUGAAUGGCGGGAAUAACUAUAAUUCUCUUAAGGUGGAACAUAAUACUGCCUUAGUAAAAUCGGGCUAUAUGCUGGAACAUCUGAGUAUCCCACACUACGAAUGCACUUCUCAAAGACCCCAAAAAGGUUUUUAAGGAAAGUAUUCGUGACAAUGUGAUGGGUGCAGACAAUCAGCAGGAAAGGCUAGAGAAACAAUGGAUAGUCGGUUUCGUUGAUGGUGAAGGAUGUUUUUACGUAGGUAUUAAUCAUCCCAGAAACUAUCGACAAGUUUUGCCAGAAUUUCGUAUUGUCCAACAUCAAAAAGAUGAAGCUCUGUUAAACAAAAUCAAACAGUUCUUUCGAUGUGGAUCCGUGACUAAAAAUCAUGGAGACAGAAAAGAAUGGCGAGUUCGCGGGAUAAAAAAUCUCAACAACAUCGUCAAAUUUUUCCAAACACAUCAGCUGAAAAGCAGAAAGAAAAAAGAUUUUGAAAUAUUUGCAGAGAUCAUCAAGAUGAUAAAUGAGAAAAAACAUUUAUCAGAUGAAGGAUGGAAGAAAAUUGCGGAAUUGGCAGGACAAAUGAAUCGGCAAAAACAGCGUAAUCUAGAAUCCUCAGAGACUAUAUGCCAGACAUCACGUGAAGUGAUGAAGAUAGAGUCCGACCUUAUCAGCGAUGAUAAGACCUCAUCAGAAAUGGUGAGACGCCAAGAAAAAAUCUUUUUGGUUAGUAACUUUUGACAGCAGAAGUGAAGUAACAGAUGUGAGCGAAAUACCUUGUCGUUUGAAUGACGACGCGCAUGAAUGGCGUAACGAGGUUCAUACUGUCCCAACAAAGAGUCCUCCGAACUCGCUCUGAUGGUGUGAAGGCCAUCGAUGUCCAGUGGGAAGCGAAGACCCCGUAGAACUUUACUGUAGCUUGUCGUUGCGAGGUAAAGAUUCGUAUGUAGCGUAGGUGGUAGUCGUUUGAUGGUCAGCUCGUUAGGGUUGAUCUAGACACCAAUGAAACACCACUUUCGAAUUUUUG